RNAcentral lists this ribosomal RNA (301 nucleotides) under uncultured bacterium. RNAcentral's name for it is "partial 16S ribosomal RNA". It matches the Rfam family "Bacterial small subunit ribosomal RNA", at positions 509 to 807 of the family's 1533-position model. The record is from RNAcentral.
CAGCCGCCGCGGGAAUACGAAGGGUGCAAGCGUUACUCAGAAUUACUGGGCGUAAAGCGUGCGUAGGUGGUGGUUUAAGUCCGUUGUGAAAGCCCUGGGCUCAACCUGGGAAUUGCAGUGGAUACUGGGUCACUAGAGUGUGGUAGAGGAUAGUGGAAUUUCCGGUGUAGCAGUGAAAUGCGUAGAGAUCGGAAGGAACAUCUGUGGCGAAGGCGACUAUCUGGGCCAACACUGACACUGAGGCACGAAAGCGUGGGGAGCAAACAGGAUUAGAUACCCGGGUAGUCCCUGUCUCUUAUAC